UGGGGCAUAGCUCAGUGGGAGAGCGAGUGCUUAGCACACACAAGGUUCUUGGUUCAAUCCCCAGUACUUCUA
This 72-nucleotide transfer RNA is filed under the name Camelus ferus (Wild Bactrian camel). It matches the Rfam family "tRNA". Rfam says of the family: Transfer RNA (tRNA) molecules are approximately 80 nucleotides in length. Their secondary structure includes four short double-helical elements and three loops (D, anti-codon, and T loops). Lineage: Eukaryota; Metazoa; Chordata; Mammalia; Artiodactyla; Camelidae. The record is from Rfam by way of RNAcentral.